Molecule: transfer RNA, 70 nt
Filed under: Solegnathus hardwickii (Hardwicke's pipefish)
Lineage: Eukaryota; Metazoa; Chordata; Actinopteri; Syngnathiformes; Syngnathidae
Description: tRNA-Gly
Rfam family: tRNA
About the family: Transfer RNA (tRNA) molecules are approximately 80 nucleotides in length. Their secondary structure includes four short double-helical elements and three loops (D, anti-codon, and T loops). Further hydrogen bonds mediate the characteristic L-shaped molecular structure. tRNAs have two regions of fundamental functional importance: the anti-codon, which is responsible for specific mRNA codon recognition, and the 3' end, to which the tRNAs corresponding amino acid is attached (by aminoacyl-tRNA synthetases). tRNAs cope with the degeneracy of the genetic code in two manners: having more than one tRNA (with a specific anti-codon) for a particular amino acid; and 'wobble' base-pairing, i.e. permitting non-standard base-pairing at the 3rd anti-codon position.
Source: RNAcentral
AUCUUUUUAGUAUCAACUAGUAUGAGUGACUUCCAAUCACCCGGCCUUGGUUAAAAUCCAAGAAAAGAUA